GGUUUUAUAUUCAUUAUAUGAUUUUAAAUUGCAAGUUUAAAGGUGUAGUUUCUACUAAGGCCU
RNAcentral lists this transfer RNA (63 nucleotides) under Saussurella borneensis. Its description in RNAcentral is "tRNA-Cys". Lineage: Eukaryota; Metazoa; Arthropoda; Insecta; Orthoptera; Tetrigidae. The record is from RNAcentral.